UUUCCCUGCCAACGCAGUACAAUAGUUUGAAUCAGGAUCCCGUGGGUGCACUGUCAUCUACUUUUGCCCGGCUACAGUCCUCUAAGCCACUUCGCGAGCUGCGUGAAUCUGCAAAAGCUAUCACGAAACAAAUGCCGGUUCCUGUACAAGAAGUGACGGCAAAGGUCGAUGAGUAUGCUCGUGGCAUGAUAAGUGGAUCUGGAUCAACGCUAUUCGAAGAGUUGGGUCUAUACUACAUUGGAACAGUUGACGGGCAUAAUCUUCAAGACCUCGUGGCCAUUUUAGAAGAAGUGAAGUCGACGCGAAGCGUGGGCCCGGUCCUCAUACAUAUUGUCACAGAGAAGGGUAGAGGGUACUCAUACGCAGAGGCUGCUCAAGAUAAGUACCAUGGAGUAUCUACAUUUGAUGUGGCUUCAGGAAAACAGAAGAAAUCUGCGAGCGGCAUUCCGACAUACACACAAUUUUUUGCCGAUGCUCUCGUAGGUGAAGCUGGUCUUGAUGAGAACGUCGUGGCUGUCCAUGCCGCCAUGGGUGGGGGAACAGGUCUCAAUCACUUUGAAAAGUUUUUUGCAGACCGCACAUUUGAUGUUGGCAUUGCGGAGCAGCACGCCGUAACUUUCUCUGCAGGGCUCGCAGUCGAAGGGCUAAAGCCGGUUUGUGCAGUCUAUUCAACGUUUUUGCAAAGAGGGUUUGAUCAGGUCGUACACGAUGUUGCUUUGCAAAAGUUACCUGUGCGUUUUGCCAUGGAUCGUGCUGGUCUUGUCGGUGAGGAUGGGCCCACUCACGCCGGUGCGUAUGAUGUAACAUUCAUGGCAUGUCUGCCUGAUAUGGUUGUGAUGGCUCCAAUGAAUGAAGCAGAGCUCUGCCACAUGGUUGCGACCUCAAUUUCUGUUGAUGAUCGACCUUCAUGCUUUAGGUAUCCACGCGGCACAGGCGUAGGCCUCGACUUGAUCGGAGAGGGGGUUGAAAUGUUACGGCCAGGAUACAAAGGUGGCAUACUGGAAAUUGGAAAGGGAAGGAUCAUAC
RNAcentral lists this long non-coding RNA (1026 nucleotides) under Micromonas commoda. RNAcentral's name for it is "long non-coding RNA (MCOM_LNC000082)". The record is from RNAcentral. Lineage: Eukaryota; Viridiplantae; Chlorophyta; Mamiellophyceae; Mamiellales; Mamiellaceae.